This is an RNA transcript of Oryza sativa Japonica Group (Japanese rice), 2546 nucleotides long. It is a transcript of the gene named pentatricopeptide repeat-containing protein At1g07740, mitochondrial, with no coding region annotated. Lineage: Eukaryota; Viridiplantae; Streptophyta; Magnoliopsida; Poales; Poaceae. The record is from RefSeq and is a predicted model, not a curated record.
CAGCCCGUGGGCUGACAGCCGGCGGCGGGGGCGGGGGCGGGGCGAGCGGUGGCGCGCGGGCUGAGCGCCGACGGCAGCGGUAGGCGGCGGCGGCGGCGGCAGGGCGACGCCUACUAGGUGUUCGACGAAAUGCCAACAAGGAACGUGGUGGCGUGGAGCUAGCCAAUCUAGCUAAAGACUUUCACACCCACUUCAGCUCCUAUAGGAGCUAGCUCUCACUAGAGUUGGAGUUGGAGUUGGGAGCUGGGAGUUGGAGUUUGGAGCUCUACUAAACGGGGCCGUAGCUGGAAGUGCUUGUUGCCUUCAGAACUCCGAUGCCCGCCGCCGCCGCCGCCGCGAGACUGCGCCGCCGCGGCCACCGCCGGAAGAAGUUCGUGUACAGACCGAAGCCACCGCCGGAGCCGCACCCAUUCCUCCUCCACCUCAAGUCGCUCCCGUCCCCCGUCGCCGCCGCGGCCGCGCUCCUCUCCGCGCCGAGGCGCCUCCACGACCACCCCUUCGCCGCCUGCGUGCUCUACCGCCUCGCCCGCGCGCGCCUCUUCCCGCUCGUGCCCCCGCUCCUCGCCGCGCUGCACUCCCGCGGCGCGCCGCUCCGUCCCACCGUGUUCGCCGCCGUCAUCGACCACCUCGGCGCCGCUUCCCGCCCCGACGCCGCGGUCGGCGUCUUCCGCACCGUCCCGGCCUUCUGCUCCCACUCCGCCGCCACAUUCCAUUCCCUCCUCAACGCCCUUGUGUCCAAUGGCCGCACGGAUGCCGCCCGGGACAUGCUCCCGCUCGCCCCGAAGCUCGGCGUCCGCCUCAACGCCGUGUCGUACAACAUCAUCCUCAAGGGCGCGUGUCUCCGGGACGGGUUCAUGGGCGCCCGCGGCGUGCUCGACGAAAUGCUCAGCCGGGGUGUGCGACCGACGGUGGUCACCUUCAACACGCUGGUGGGGUCGGCGUGCCGGGAGGGUGAGCUGGGCGCGGCGGAGCGGCUCAUCGACGAGAUGGCGCGCCGUGGCGUGGCGCCAAACGCGGCCACCUACGCCCUCCUGAUGCGGGGGCUCUGCGACGCCGACCGCCACGCCGACGCCGAGAAGCUGAUGUUCGACAUGGAGUACCGCGGGUGCCAGGCCGACGUGGUGAACUACGGCGUGCUGAUGAGCUCCCGCGCGAGGCACGGCGACGCCGACGGCGUCAGGGAGCUCCUCUCCGCCAUGCGCAAGCGGAAGCUCAAGCCCGACGACGCGAGCUACAACAUCCUGAUCAGGUGCCUGUGCGACGCCGGCAGGGCCGACGAGGCGCACAGGGCGCUGCUCGAGAUGCAGCUCAGGGGCACCGUGCCGGGCGCCGCCACGUACCGCGUCCUCGUCGACGGGUGCUGCAGGGCUCGCGACUUCGACCUGGGUCUACGGGUCUUCAACGCGAUGAUGGCGAGCGGACACUGCCCCCAAGCUCGCACCUUCAGGCACCUUGCGAGAGGGCUCGGCGAGGACGGCAAGGCGGAGGAGGCGUUCUUCGUCUUGGAGCAGAUGGCGAGGAGGGAGAUGAGCUUGGAUGCAGAUGGGUGGCAAGCUGUUGUCACGUGCGUUCGCAGCAGCUGCAGCACCCAGACAUACGGAGUACCUGGAUUCUGGGCAACAGGCGAAAGAUGUAAACCAUACAACUGAAGUGAUUUUGAAAGUAUUUUCAUGCCAGCAAGCAAAUGAUUAGUGAUUAAGGUCAACCCUGGAACAGCCAGAAUUCGGACAGAUGGAUUAUUAAUCCAGGUUUUAUCACUUGCUGGCGAACCGUUUUUCGCGGAAGAAGCAAUCUGUUUGUCCAUUCAAAAUGGAGUAAUUUUACAAUCUUCAAAGAGAUACCGAGAGAAGCAGACAUCCGGGCCACAACACAGGAAAUUCAAAGACUCAGAGAGCAAAAGAGCCUACAACUCCAACUUGAGACAUUUCUCAACAGAUUUCUGGCUUUCUGCAUUCCAGCAGAUCAAAAGGCUUCAGCCCAAGCGAUCCAACUCCCGCUUCACAAGACAACUCCAUCUUGACCCAACAGAACUCCACCACAUGCAUCUUGCUGAUGACAGUGCAGUGCUGUAGACUUCAGUACUUCCGCACAUUGUUCCAGUUUGAUUCGAUCCUCCUGGCUUUGUAAACCUGCCAAAUAAGAGAGAAACAGAUGAAAAACGCCAUCUAAGUAGAAUUGAUCUUCUUUAUCCAUCAAAACAUAUUCCGGGCAUCCCAGAGGGCCCAACACACGGCGGCCAAUCCCACAAUGUGAUUUUUUUUUUCUAUUUGGUAUAUAAACAUUAGCCCAGAUAAAAAAAUUGCUCGAAAGAGUUGGAACGACAUUGAGCUCCAAACACAUAAAUAUAUUAUUAUGAUCCGACCUUAGAUCCUUAUAUUGUGUUUUCACACCCAUAUUGUGCUACAUUUUGCUAGGAAUGAGCUCACCAUUUAUUGGGUGAAGAUUUGCUGCCAUUAUAUUGGCAAAAGCAAAGCUUUGCUAGACCAACAUCUACUCCAAAUGUAACGGUGCGGUGCAACAAAAUUUACCUGAGUUUUGUUUUCCAA